RNAcentral lists this long non-coding RNA (863 nucleotides) under Coturnix japonica (Japanese quail). Its description in RNAcentral is "lncRNA (ENSCJPG00005001560.1)". The record is from RNAcentral. Lineage: Eukaryota; Metazoa; Chordata; Aves; Galliformes; Phasianidae.
UUGUCCUAUUUUGGGUCUCAUUCAUCUCAUUUUGGGUCUCAUUCAUCUCAUUUUGGGUCAUUUUGGGUCUCAUUCAUCUCAUUUUGGGUCAUUUUGGGUCUCAUUCAUCUCAUUUUGGGUCUCAUUCAUCUCAUUUUGGGUCUCACUCAUCUCAUUUUGGGUCAUUUUGGGUCUCAUUAAUCUCAUUUUUGGGACUCAUUUAUCUCAUUUUAUCCCACUUUGGGUCUAAUUUGUCCCAUUUUGGGCCCCAUUUGUCCCAUUUCUGGUCUCAUUUCUGGCCCUUUUUCUUUGGGGGGGGCCGUUUGGGGGCUCCAACCACCGUCAGCUUUUUGGGGAGGGCGGCCGCCGCCUUCAUGGCCACCUCGUGCUCAAUGCGCAGCCGGAUCCCGACCUCCAGGCUCUGAAAUGGGGGGGGGGGCACAAAAAGACCCCCAUUAACACAUGGGAGAUAUUAAAUGGGGGGGGGGGCACAACAAGACCCCCAUUAACACAUGGGAGAUAUUAAAUGGGGGGGGGCACAACAAGACCCCCAUUAACCCAUGGGUGAAAUCAAGGGGGGGGGGCACAACAAGACCCCCAUUAACACAUGGGUGACAUCAAUGGGGGGGGCACAACAAGACCCCCAUUAACACAUGGGUGAAAUCAAUGGGGGGGGGCACAACAAGACCCCCAUUAACACAUGGGUGACAUCAAUGGGGGGGGGCACAACAAGACCCCCAUUAACCCAUGGAUGACAUUAAAUGGGGGGGGGGGCACAACAAGACCCCCAUUAACACAUGGGAGAUAUUAAAUGGGGGGGGGGCACAACAAGACCCCCAUUAACCCAUGGGAGAUAUUAAAUGGGGGGGGGCACAACAAGACCC